GUACUCUCACACUCUCUGAUCCUUUGGAUUUGGGGAGCGGUGGACUUGGGUGUUUGCUGCUUUUCCUAGUGGCUCACCUCAAAUGUGUCAGUGCACCUCUUGGUUGGACAUAGUACGGCGUGAUAAGUGUCUUCGCCGGCACCUCGCAAGAGGGUGGCUGAUCAAGAGCUCUGUGCUUUCAAACCGUCUUCGGACACUUUCUGACA
This 206-nucleotide unclassified non-coding RNA is filed under the name uncultured Sebacina. Its description in RNAcentral is "sequence contains ITS2". The record is from RNAcentral. Lineage: Eukaryota; Fungi; Basidiomycota; Agaricomycetes; Sebacinales; Sebacinaceae.